AGAGUUUGAUCCUGGCUCAGGAUAAACGUUGGCGGUGUGCUUUAUGCAUGCAAGUCGUACGAGGCUAUAGUUUUCGGAUUAUAGUUUAGUGGCAAAUGGCUGAGUAAUACAUAGGUAACCUGCCUGUGAGUGGUGGAUAACUUGCUGAAAGGCAAGCUAAUACAGCAUGUGGUGAACAAGGAUUUCUUGUUUAUCAAAGCCUUCGGGCGCUCGCAGAGGGGCCUAUGCCUGAUUAGCUAGUUGGUGAGGUAACGGCUCACCAAGGCUUUGAUCAGUAGCUGGUCUGAGAGGAUGGUCAGCCAGAUGGGGACUGAGAUACGGCCCCAACUCCUACGGGAGGCAGCAGCAAGGAAUAUUGGGCAAUGGGCGAAAGCCUGACCCAGCGACACCGCGUGAGGGAUUAAGGCCUUCGGGUUGUAAACCUCUUUUCUCGAGGAAGAAGCUCUGACGGUACUUGAGGAAUAAGCCACGGCUAACUACGUGCCAGCAGCCGCGGUAAUACGUAGGUGGCAAACGUUGUCCGGAUUUAUUGGGCGUAAAGAGAGUGUAGGCGGCUUAUUAAGUCAAGUGUUAAAUCUUCUGACUCUAUCAGGAGCUGCAUUUGAUACUGGUAGGCUUGAGUGCAGCAGAGGAAAACGGAAUUCCCAGUGUAGCGGUGAAAUGCGUUGAUAUUGGGAAGAACACCAGAGGCGAAGGCGGUUUUCCAGGCUGUGUCUGACGCUGAGACUCGAAAGCGUGGGGAGCGAAGCGGAUUAGGUACCCGCGUAGUCCACGCCUUAAACGGUGGACGUUAGGUAUGGGAAGUAUCGACCCUUUCUGUGCCGUAGCUAACGCUUUAAAUGUCCCGCCUGGGGAGUACGGUCGCAAGGCUAAAACUCAAAGGAAUUGACGGGGGUCCGCACAAGCAGCGGAGCGUGUGGUUUAAUUCGAUGAUACACGAAGAACCUUACCAGGGUUUGACAUGUCAGAAGUAGGAAGCCGAAAGGUUUACGACCUGUAUCCAAUCAGGAACUGUCACAGGUGUUGCAUGCUGUCGUCAGCUCGUGCCGUGAGGUGUUGGGUUAAGUCCCGCAACGAGCGCAACCCUUGUUCUAUGUUAAUUUCUCAUAGAAGACUGCCUUGUACAGCAAGGAGGAAGAGGAGGAUGACGUCAAGUCAGCAUGGCCUUUAUGCCCUGGGCUACACACACGCUACAAUGGGUAAUACAGAGGGUUGCCAAAGAGCGAUCUGGAGCUAAUCCCUUAAAAUUAUCCUCGGUUCAGAUUGUAGGCUGAAACCGCCUGCAUGAAGUCGGAGUUGCUAGUAAUCGCAGGUCAGCUAUACUGCGGUGAAUACGUUCUCGGACCUUGUACACACCGCCCGUCACGUCGUGGAAGUUGGAAACACCUGAAGUCAAUGUGUUAACUUGCUUAGGUAAGAAAUAGUUGUUGAAGGUGGAGCUGAUAACUGUGGCGAAGUCGUAACAAGGCA
Molecule: ribosomal RNA, 1470 nt
Filed under: metagenome
Description: bacterial SSU rRNA
Rfam family: Bacterial small subunit ribosomal RNA
Source: RNAcentral